GAUGGACGAUAUAUAUUUUAUGUAGUAAAGAAUGGAGACUGGCAGUUGACUUUGCUGAAGAAAAGUCUCUUCCAAUGGAUUGUCAAUUUCUCCUCAACAAGUGCUUUGUCUAAUACAUUACACCAAGUUUGAGAAAAACAAGAUCCAGGUAAUUAAGUUAUAUUUUUGCAUAUACUAUAUGAUAUUUAUUAUCUUCUUAUACGAGCUAGCCAAUUAGUAGAAUGUGUACAUACUAGCUUCCUUUAUGAUUUUGAGCAAAUAUUAUGUGUUUGAUAUUCAUAAAAUUCUUGUUUUUUUUGUAUAUAUUUAAAUAAGAAAGAAUGAGAACAAGAACAUACAUUUUUUGUAUCCCUACAACACAAAUGAGACACCCAAAAACUUGACAAAAUGAGUUAACAUAAAUUAACUAGCCCCUACAGACUAAAAUUAGGGCAACCUAGUGACCUAAUCAUCCUGCAUUGACUAGGUCCCGGAAGGACCGACACUCUUUUGGUGUGUGAGGUGUGCAGCCUACCUUGAUGCAAAGCAUCAGGGGCUGAUUCCAAAACGGCUUGAACCCGUAACUUAUUGGUUACACGGAGACAAUUUUAUUGUUGCUCUCCAGGUGUAUCUAAGAAAUCAGUAGAAACUAUGUACUAAAAAUCGAAGCUACUGCAACAUAUGACAAAAUCCAUCAAAGUAUUAUCUCUAUGCUUGGUUGGCUUCACACGACGUGUGAUAUUUUUUAUUAUCCAGCCCUGCGAAAGAACAAUAAUUAGAACUUGAAUCCAAAAUUUUAGAAAGAAAGGGGAAAGACUUUUGUUUGAACUUAGUGUAAUGAGGUAGAGCGUGGAUAAAUUUGUGUAGUACCUUAAGUUCCACUAGUGGAUCUUGGAGAAUCCAAGGAAGCAAGGGUGGAAUUUGGUGUACUUGUUAGUCCACUGUCACAGCAGUUGAUUCUAGCAAACCAAUUCUGUAACCAGUUUCUGGCUGGAUGAAGAACUCCACAGUCACAAUAUUUGCUUAUCUUUAUGUAUUGUGAUGCCCAUUUUACUAUCACAUCAAUCAACCAUGUGACAACACCAAUUAACAUGGAUUCAAUCCAUUGCUUCCAAUUCAGUCGAGCCGUGUUGCUAAAGACAACCUCUACUUCAAUGAAUCCGAACUGCAACACAAGAUAGAGCCCAGACAAUGCCCAAAACAAGUAAUUUUGACCAAGACCUUUGAAAAAAUUCUUCUGCUCUAAAUCCCUUGCACUGAAUAUGUUAAAAAGCAGGCACAGAGCGAACCCGUUAAAGACUAUAGAUCUGUUAAUUUUUGAAGUGACGCCGAGUAUUGCACUUCCUCUGUGUUGAAGGAAUACAAAAAUGCCAGUCUGAUAGGAAGCUUGAAGAAGUAUGUUUCUCCACAUAGCGUUGGUAAUUGGUGGUUUUCUUGAUAUGAUAAAAUGCUCAUCCCUUAGUUGUCUUGUGGCCUGUUGAGUAAUUAGCAAAGCUGGCCCUCCAAUAAAUUUUACAAGAAGGUUAACCCAUACCAACUGAACGACUGUUAAUGGACCAUCUCCGUCCAAUAUAACCAGUAUGAAGUUUAUUAAUAAGCUACUGAUUGCCAAGAUUACCUCAACUUGGAUGAAUUGCCUCAUAUUCUCACAAACAAUUCUUCCUCCUUUGAUGCUGUUAAUCACAUAAGUUAUAGUUUCAGGCCAGUUAGUCACCACAGGCAGGCUAAAAUGAGCUGCUUCAAGAACCACAUUACUUUCAGAUGCUUGUUCUCCUACCACAGCCACCACUUCUCCUCUUUUCUUCAACUGCUCUAUUAAAAGAAGCAUGCAUGUGGGAGAGGAAUUUCCCAUAAUGCAAGUUUUAUCAACGAUUUCCUUUGUAGCAUCUUCGCCCCUAACUACUAGAGCUUCACGUGAGUUGAGCAAUCCUGUUUCAUCAACAAUGGUACAAAGCACUUCAACAUCUUCUUCCGAGGCAAAUAUCAUCUUCACUCCGCCUUCUUUCAGAUUAUCAAUUCCUUGCCUCAUGUUGUCUAGAUUGAAAGCAUCUUCUAAGACAAACCUACCAAUGAAUGUUAGUCCAUUUUCAUCAAGUUCUGCAACGCCAUGAGUGUGUUUGAAGGCAAAUGCAACUACCUUCAUGUUGUUGUUGUUAGCUUGAGCAAUGCCACUCUUUGUUCCGUCAUCCAAAUCAUGCAAUUCACCGGUCGUGUCAUAGUAACUUGAACACAUUGACAAUAUUGAAUCAGUAGGGCCCUUGAAAUAUGAAUAGUACUCUUUCCCAUUGUCUCCACUUUUCUCCAUGACAACUCUACAAGGUCCUUCAAAAGGAUUCAUCUCAUCAUCGUUGUCCUUCACUUUGGUGAACUGCUGAUUGGAAGAGUCUCUCUGCAUACCGCAGUUCUUCUCUACCCAACAGAGUAUUGCUUGUUCUACUCUGUGGUAGGCUGUUUGAGAAGUCAGAGGGGACACACCAAUUCCAGCAGAGAGAACAUUGUAGACAUGCGGGGGAAUCUUGGCAACAUCUUUUUUGUCAAGAAGAAACUGAGUAACUUUCAGUUUUUGCUCUUUCAACCAGCAAACUUUUUCUAUACAGAUGGUGUUGACUGGUUCCAUCUUAACAUCAAAAAUUGGAUACCAGUAUGCCCUUGCUAUUGAAAUAAGAAAUGGAACUCCUUCAGUUAUCCCCACCAGUGAGAUACCAAGAGAAGUUAUCAUAACUCUCACUGUUCCCUUUGAUUCUGUCAAAACCUUCUUCACGGCAUUCAUUAUCCGUGCAAUUUCAGUUGGUUCUUCCUUGAUUUCCAAUCUAUAUCCGUUAUCAUCAUCUUUAUGCCCCAAUUUAAAGCGAAUGAACAGCACCACACUGAUCAAAAUGCCAAUCGACAGCCCACUAAUAUGUAUGUAAUUGUUCAACUUGUCAAAGUCGGCACAGAAACUGGAGUCCGUUUCAGCAAUAAACGGCUGGUCCUUCCUUGCUCUGUUCUCAUUUUGCUUCUUCCAAAUGUGUCUUUUGUACCAAUUACGUGCUAGCUUAAACAAAACAAUCACAAAUAUAAUCACAACCAGAAGUGCUCCUUCAAACCAACCAUUCUGCACACCUUCUUCUUUGAUUCCAAAGACAAACGACAAUAUUGCUGCAACUGCAAGGAGCAAAAUAGUUGGUUCCUUGCAUACUAACUUUCGGAUCAUGAAUUUGCCAUAUCCGGCGAAGAUCAGCAUGUGAUGAGACAAGUCGCACCUAGAAAUGUCUCCAACUUGAAUUCCCUUGUCAACAGUACUCCCCUUCACUCCUUCAAAAUUGUGAAGUGAAUCCAACUUCACAAUCUCUUCACUAAUUUGUAAGCAUUGCUGAUGAGUACUCUGAAGCUCAAUCUCGCAGUGAUCAUGGUUUGAUUGUCCAACAUUAACAUGAGCUGAAGCUUCCACAAUUUCAACAAUCUGGAUUUCAUCUCCACCACCUUCAGAGUUCUGAGUAGACACAAAGCAUAUAUAAUCCCUCUAAUUAAUUUUAUCAACAUAACUAAAACUGUAUACAUAGAUAUUCUAUAUUGGUAGAAUUUAUUAGGAAAUAUAAUGCAUGCAUCUAGGUGUAUGUAUUAGUGGUACCUUGUUUGAUACACUUUUUCUUACUAUGUAUAACUAAUGUUAUACACUCUAUUUUAUAUUACAUAUACCAAGUAAUUUUAGAUAUUAAUUAUAUAUAGCAUUUAAAUACUUGCAUUAGAUUAAAUAAUUACAAAAUUAAACUACCUUCAAAGCUUUUUAAAACAUUUCCUAACUUCUUCUCUUCUUUUCAUUUUCUUUCUUGUCAUGUGUUUUAUUUUUGUUGUUGCUUAUUUUUCAAUGUCUUUUAAUUUGUUAGUGUCUUGAUAGAUUUUAUGGGAGUUUUUGGUUAAAAUUAUAUAUGUCAACAAUGAUUUAAAUCUAAUGUACAUCCUUAUAUUAUCUAAGUGAGCAAAAAAUAUUCUUAUACUAUCUAAAAAAUAACAAGAAUCAUUCUUCAGCCUAUUUUUGUCAAAACAUUGUUGAACCAAUAAAAAAAAUUUUGUUUAACUUGAUCACGUCUGUGUCACGACGAAAAGAUCAAAGUUAUGUAAUAAAAAUAAGGAUAUGGAUAGAAAAUGAAUCUUGAAUUUAAUUAAAUUUCGUGUGUUGUUAGUUUAUAGAGUAUGUAAUUUUGCAUCAUCUAGUAAACUGACUUGCACCAAUACAUAAGUUUUGAAAUAUUUAUACAGUACGUCCGAAGGUUAGAAAGAUUAUGUAAAAAAGUCAUUUCAAAUAUAUUACUUCCAACUAUUUAGAGAUUUUCUUUAGUAAAAUAUUGAGGGGUGUAUACUAUAUAUACAAUGUUCACAUUUUAUACAAUUUACAAAAAUGCUGGAAAUUUAGUGAAAUUACAUAGGUAUUUAGUUAUUAAAAACAAAAAAUAAUUAUUUUAUUUGAAAUUUUUGAAAUUGGAGUAGUAUUUUUUUCCCAAAGAAUAUUUAGAAUUUGAAUAUAUUUUGUCUGAAUAUAAUUUAACCCUCAAUUUCAAAAAAUAAAAAAAAGUCACCUAACUUGAUUAGUUUAACCAUGUGUACAUAUAUUCAUUCGACUUGACACAUUUUUUUUGGGGCGUGAGUUCUUAAAAAAAUAGAUAAAAGGAUGAAUGUUGCAACUUCUUGAAUAGUUCAGGGAUUUUUUUGUUCACUUAUAUAACACAAGUAUGUAAUUUAAGUUUUAGUCAUACUUCAAAGAUUAUAUUAGCCAAAAAUUUGAUUUUAUGGCCUCUUAAGUAGUAUCUUUUUUUUAAAAAAAAAAUUAAUUUUCAACAUAAUUUAAUCAAAAAAUUUACUUGUGGUGAUAGAUUUGACAAAAAAAAUUAUUUGCCAACUUUUCACAAAAUUAUUUUGAUUCAAAAUAGUAUAACUAUUUAAUAUUAUUUUUAAAAGUAAGAAGAAAAAGAGGAGUUAAAUGUUAAUGAUGUUUUAGCAAAGAACUUUGUUGCAAGUAAUUGCAAAAAUAAAUAAAGUAUGAAGAAUAUUUUUGUAAACACAUAUUUUUAAAUAUAAAUUAUGCAAUAUUUUGUUAUUUCUAGUACAUCAAACUAAACAACGUAUAAGAACAGUGUUUGCAUAACUAACGCAAGCAUUACUAAGAUACCUUAUUUUGUACUAUUCUUAUACAUUUUACCAAACGACUCUGAGUGAGAAGUGCGAAAAUUAGGUCUUAGACUUUACUUACACCCUAAAGCUAAUCUCAUUAACCGUCAAUAUGAGACUUGUGUCAUUAUUUAACUCAAAAGCAUAAAGUAAAGUUUAAAAUACCAUUUUACCCCUAUCAUAAUUAAAAAUGUUAUAAAUAUCUAAUAAGUUAAAUAUAAAGUAAUUAAAAUAUUUUCACAACAUUUUCACCUCCUAAAUUAUUUUUAAGCGAAAGAGUUAUAAAGUGACCAUAUUUAUCUAUAAAUUACAAGUGACACUAAUUGAUUAUGAUAUUAUGGAUAAAGACUAUGCCAUAAAUGUAACUCUGAUAAGUUGUAACCACUUUGAACAAAAUCGAUCAUUUAUCGCUAAACAUAUAUUUUUAGCAGCGAUUAUCACUUUUUUUUAUAUGUUUUUAAAGUCUUUAGCGACAUUGAUUCUAAUAGCACUUAACAAAUGCCGAUAAAAAAUUUAACACUUAUUAUUAAUGUCAAUAUUUAAUACUACUAAAAAUUAUUUUUGUUAUAGUAAACAAUAUAAAAACUUAGAGGGACAAAUCAAUGAUAUAGUUGGAAUAGGAAAAAGAUAAUGUUCUAAAUACUCGAUGUUAAGAAAUAUGUAAGUGUUUGGAAAGCUAUCAGCCUAGUAAAUUACACAACCUAAUAAUUAUGUGGACUUGUUUGUUUGUCACAGUGUAAUUACAAGUUGGGGUGUGCACUGUUUUGGGUUAAAUCAAAAAAUCAAACCAAAUAUUUAUUUUGUUUAAUUUUUUGGUUUAGUUUCAGAUUUUAGAAAAAUGAAAAUCGAAAAAUUGAACACACACAUAUAUAUAGAGAGAGAAUUAAGUUGGAGUUAACCACUUUCUUUUUAGUUAUUUUCAUUAUUAUUUAAUUUUUUUUUGUUUCGACAUCUAUAAUUAAUAUACUUUUAAAUAUUGUAUUUUACAUUUUUAAUAUAUAUAUAUAUAUAUAUAUAUAUAUAUAUAUAUAUAUAAAAUUCAUUUUCAAAUUACAAAUAUAACUUCGUUAUGUUCUUAAUUAUUGCUAUAACCGAUCGAACCGAAAAAACUCAAACCAUAAAAGAGAAAAAUCAAACCAAAUUUAUUUUGGUCGGAUUGAGUUACACUUCUUCAAAAUCAAAAAUUAAAAAAUUCAAACCAAAUAAAAUCGAAUGCACAACCCUAAUUACAAGUGUAGUGUUUUAUUGCACAAGUAUAAUCAUAAGGUUAUAUUGAAUUUUAAAAAAUAAAAAAUAAUUAUUUAAAAUUUAAAUUUAUAAAUGAUAUUAAAUUGAAUAAUAUUGCCUUUUGAAAAUAUAUUAAUUAAUAAACCUACGUUCUUUGACUAGUAUUAUUAAAAAUAAUUUAUCUAUAUUUUUCAAUUUAGUAUAUUUUAAUUAUAAAAGUAUGUAGUUGUAAAAGAAAUGAAAUAUUGGAGUAUUAUUUAUGCUUACUCCAUGUUGAAGACUCAAGGUGGCAUGAGUGUUGGAUAUUGAUGAAAGUGAUGAUAUGCUUGCUGCAGCUUCAAUGAAGUUGUAAAUAGAUAGAAAAAUGAACACCAACCUCCUCAUGAUCAUCAAACUAAAAUUACGUAAUUCAUCAUUCAUUGAUAGCGGGAAACUCCGCUGAGCUUCAAUGUCUUCAUGAUCCACCUCCAUCAUCCUACCUAGCUACCUGUAUAUAUAUAUAUAUCUCACCUUUGAUCAGCACUGUCGUCGUACUUCAUGAUCACUACUUCUUUUUUAAGAUGUACCUAAGACGACCAUGAUAUGAUAUGAUUGAAAAGGAUCUAACAAAAGCUACGUAAAAAUAUAGAGUGUGGCUGAGGGGAGGAAAGGGAUUUUCCUAGCAACCUACUAUUCCAACAACGCCAUAAUGAAGUCAAUUUUGAAUUAAUAUUCUAAACCUGAUCCUUCAAACACCAAGACCACAAUAUACAUAGGCAAAAUUUGAACCAGAUCAAACCAGUAAUAUUGUUUUUAUUAUGUAUAUACUCAGUGGCGGAUCUAGGAAUUUAAGGUUGUAGGUGUUUUAAAGUGAAAAUAUAAAAAAAAUAUGCGUGUUAACAGUGAGAUUCGAACCUUGGUACAACAAGGCUAAAAAAAUUUUAAAUACCCAUUCAGGAGCCAUUGGGCCAACUAAAUCAUUUAUUCAUUGGGUGCUCUAUGUUAAUUUUAUACAAAUACCUAUCAAUUUCUACAUAGAUAUAUAUAUUUCGUAGCAAAGUUAAUGGGUGCUCGAGGUCCGCCUCUGUUAAUAUACUCUGUGCGUCGACAUUACUUUAUGAUUAACGAUUGAAUUUUUGCUAAUUUUUUGAGAAAGUGAAAUGCUUUUUAUAAAAUUCAAUUGUAUAUUCUAGUCAAGUUUUUGUUUGAGGUUUGUAUUAUUCAGUUGGUCAAAGAGUUAUGGAACUUAUUUUCUCAUUUCUACUUUCUAAAGCAAUUCUGAAACGUAGCUUCCUAGAAAGUUCUCCUAGGCAAUUAAUUGCUGGUCAAGUGUGUGAGGUUUUUCACUCUCAGCCUUAGCUUUGUGUUACGAAAUGUUAAUAUCAUAAUCCUUAGGCUGGUUGGUUCGUUUUUAUAACGCGGUAUUCACAAUUUUUCAUUUGAUCCCACCAUCACCACUACACCCCACACACACACACAUUUUUGUCCAUUUGACCAUGAAAAAAGUGAGUAUUUAAAAAUAUUCACCCUCCAACUUUGCUUUAAAAAUCAAACUUUUCCUCAAUUUUGAACAAUCACCAAACUCCCCUGUAUUCUAUGCAUUAUUCAUUUAUAUCACAUAUAUAUGUAAUACCUCUUUAUAUUAUAUAUAAUUUAUUUUUUAACCAAAGUAUUUAUAAUUUUUUUCUUUAAGUUCAUUAAUAUUAUAAAUAGAAUAAAUUUAUCACAAAGUUUGAUAUUAUUUUUAUGACCUUUACGUUAUUAAAUUUGACUACUAUUAUUUUAUGACGUUAGUUAAUAUUAAGGGUAGAAAUAAAAAAAAUUGAUUAAAAAUUCUUUUGAUUUCAUUAAGUGGAAUCGAUCAAUUAUUGUUGAGUUACAUGUAAUAAUAGGGUAGACAUGUAUCAAUUGUUCUUGCCCUGAUAUACAUAAAUACAUAGUAAUUAGUAAAUACAAGUAUACAACCAACAUUAACGUGUGAUUGGAGUUGAAAAUUGGGGAUAUAUGGGUGAAGUUUGAACAAUUCUACCUUCAAAUGUAGAUGUUAAUUGUUUCAUUGCAUUUUAGAAAAAUAUAUAUAUAUUUUUUUUAAUGUCCAAGUAUAUUUUGUUGUUUCAACCUUCUAGAUAUUAAUUAUUUCUGUAAAAUAUUUUUGUGAGUCAUCGUGCAUUUUCUACUAAUUUAGCGGAUGAAAAUACAACAAAAAAAGAGGCAGCGCUGGAUUGUCAAUUUCUCCUCAACAAUAGCUCUCUCUAAUACAUUAGAGCAAGUUGAAGAAAAUAUACAUCAAGGUAAUUAAGAUAUAUUUGUGCAUAUUAUAUGAUAUUUAAUUUUUUAUCUUCUUGCACGAGCCAAUUGGUAGAAUGUGCAUGUACUGACUAGCUUCCUUAAUGAUUUUGAGCAAAAUUCCAUGUGUUUGAAAUUCAUAAAAUUCUUGCUUUUUGUAUAUAUUAGUACUAUAUACUAAGUUUGCAUUCUUGAAUUCAGUUAAAAGUGGAAGGAAGAACGAGAGAACAAAGAACAGACCUUUUUUUAAAUCUCCAUCUGUUAGACUCGUAAAUUACUUGAUCUAAUUACGUACAAACAUGUCAAGGACUUGGGCAUUGGUCUUGACAUGAAUGAGGGCAAAACAGUGCAACACAGGUUCAAGGUGUUUGGGUGUUGGCAAGGCAACUUGAACAUGCAAGGCUUAAGUGCGGGCUAGAGUCAUCGGCAAGGCAGCGUGUUGGCUUGACAAGGCAAAACUGUGAAGACUUGACGAUGGUAAGAACAAAGGCAUUCCACGUAAAUUGCUGAAAUAAAACCAAGUGUUGGAGGACAACUAAAAUAUUCUAAGUGUUGGAAGCUGGCUGAAAUAAUCUAAGUGUUGGAAUGUAGCCUGAAAUAUUCUAAGUGUUAAAAUAUUAAUAUUUCGUGUGGAUAAGGAUGUAAUUUAAAUUAGAGUCUAUCUGUUAGAAAUAUAUCUGUUGGAAACUUAGUUUGAAUCUUGUGAUGACAAGUGUCGGACAUGUGUCAUUUGUAACUGCCGCAUGUAACUGCCAUGUGCAGAAAUUUUAAUAAGGGUGGAAAUUUUGUUUAAGGCUUAGAGGAGUGUGUUUUCUGGCCUUAGACAAAUUCGUGAAGCCUUCCCUUUGUAUUAAUUAUCAGAUUAAUAAAGGUUGGACGAGUUCCUUUAAAUUCUGUUUGUUGUUUAACUUUGCUGUUAAAGUAUUUCUGUACUUAGUCAAAUUUGUGGGUGUAAGAUAGGCUGAGUGUUGUUAGGCGUUUGCAAGACUGCUUAGGGUGAUGUUCGAUAAAAAUAAAUCGACCCUCUUACACCAUCCGAUACAUAUGAGAAACCAAAAACUUGACGAAAUGAAUUAAUAUAAAUCAAUAACUAGCCCCUACAAAGUGUCUCUCUGAACACCACCAAAGUAAUCAAAAUGCCAAUCAACAAUCC
Molecule: long non-coding RNA, 9769 nt
Filed under: Solanum lycopersicum (tomato)
Lineage: Eukaryota; Viridiplantae; Streptophyta; Magnoliopsida; Solanales; Solanaceae
Description: long non-coding RNA (SLYC_LNC001229)
Source: RNAcentral